AAGGCUAAAUACUCCUGACUGACCGAUAGUGAACCAGUACCGUGAGGGAAAGGCGAAAAGAACCCCGGCGAGGGGAGUGAAAAAGAACCUGAAACCGUGUACGUACAAGCAGUGGGAGCCCCACCACUAAGCCAGUGGUGAACUCCACAUACGCAUCCUUUGCUGAGGAUACGGUUAACGGAGCGAAAGCGACGUUCAACCGCAAAAGAAGCAGAGGGGGCUUAGUGGUGGGGUGACUGCGUACCUUUUGUAUAAUGGGUCAGCGACUUAUAUUCUGUAGCAAGGUUAACCGAAUAGGGGAGCCGGAGGGAAACCGAGUCUUAAUUGGGCGUUAAGUUGCAGGGUAUAGACCCGAAACC
RNAcentral lists this ribosomal RNA (359 nucleotides) under Salmonella enterica subsp. enterica serovar Anatum. RNAcentral describes it as "partial 23S ribosomal RNA". It matches the Rfam family "Bacterial large subunit ribosomal RNA", at positions 462 to 722 of the family's 2925-position model. Lineage: Bacteria; Pseudomonadati; Pseudomonadota; Gammaproteobacteria; Enterobacterales; Enterobacteriaceae. RNAcentral also lists the same sequence under 1 other name. The record is from RNAcentral.